This 439-nucleotide ribosomal RNA is filed under the name uncultured Chryseolinea sp. Its description in RNAcentral is "bacterial SSU rRNA". It matches the Rfam family "Bacterial small subunit ribosomal RNA", at positions 338 to 781 of the family's 1533-position model. The record is from RNAcentral. Lineage: Bacteria; Pseudomonadati; Bacteroidota; Cytophagia; Cytophagales; Fulvivirgaceae.
CCUACGGGUGGCAGCAGUGAGGAAUCUUGCCCAAUGGGGGAAACCCUGAGGCAGCAACGCCGCGUGAAGGAAGACGGUCUUCGGAUUGUAAACUUCUUUUCUUGGGGAAGAAGGGGGUUAUGCCCCUUGACGGUACCCAAGGAAUCAGACACGGCUAACUACGUGCCAGCAGCCGCGGUAAUACGUAGGUGUCGAGCGUUAUCCGGAAUUACUGGGCGUAAAGGGCACGCAGGCGGUUGGGUGGGUCCCGUGUGAAAGCUCCCGGCUUAACCGGGAGAGGUCGUGGGAAACUAGCCAACUUGAGAGAGUGAGAGGGAAGCGGAAUUCCCGGUGUAGUGGUGGAAUGCGUAGAUAUCGGGAAGAACACCAGUGGCGAAAGCGGCUUCCUGGCACCCUUCUGACGCUGAGGUGCGAAAGCGUGGGGAGCGAACGGGAUUAG